UGGGGAAUUUUGGACAAUGGGGGAAACCCGUCGAUCCAGCCAUCCCCGUCGUGCGCGAUGAAGGCCUUCGGGUUGUAAAGCACUUUUGGCAGGAAAGAAACGUCGCGGGUUAAUACCCCGCGAAACUGACGGUACCUGCAGAAUAAGCACCGGCUAACUACGUGCCAGCAGCCGCGGUAAUACGUAGGGUGCAAGCGUUAAUCGGAAUUACUGGGCGUAAAGCGUGCGCAGGCGGUUCGGAAAGAAAGAUGUGAAAUCCCAGAGCUUAACUUUGGAACUGCAUUUUUAAACUACCGGGCUAGAGUGUGUCAGAGGGAGGUGGAAUUCCGCGUGUAGCAGUGAAAUGCGUAGAUAUGCGGAGGAACACCGAUGGCGAAGGCAGCCUCCUGGGAUAACACUGACGCUCAUGCACGAAAGCGUGGGGAGCAAACAGGAUUAGAUACCCUGGUAGUCCACGCCCUAAAACGAUGUCAACUAGCUGUUGGGGCCUUCGGGCCUUGGUAGCGCAGCUAACGCGUGAAGUUGACCGCCUGGGGGAGUACGGUCGCAAGAUUAAAACUCAAAUGAAUUGACGGGGUCAUAGCUGUUUCCUG
This 593-nucleotide ribosomal RNA is filed under the name uncultured bacterium. RNAcentral describes it as "partial 16S ribosomal RNA". It matches the Rfam family "Bacterial small subunit ribosomal RNA", at positions 355 to 1376 of the family's 1533-position model. The record is from RNAcentral.